CAGAUGUGAAAGACCCGGGGCGUCAACCUCGGAAUUGCAUUUGAAACUAGGCAAACUAGAGUACUGUAGAGGGGGGUAGGAAGUUUCAGGUGUAGCGGUGAAAUGCGUAGAGAUCUGAAGGAAUACCGGUGGCGAAGGCGGCCCCCUCGGACAGAUACUGACACUCAGAUGCGAAAGCGUGGGGAGCAAACAGGAUUAGAUACCCUGGUAG
This 211-nucleotide ribosomal RNA is filed under the name uncultured bacterium. RNAcentral describes it as "partial 16S ribosomal RNA". It matches the Rfam family "Bacterial small subunit ribosomal RNA", at positions 589 to 793 of the family's 1533-position model. The record is from RNAcentral.